Molecule: long non-coding RNA, 224 nt
Filed under: Mytilus galloprovincialis (Mediterranean mussel)
Lineage: Eukaryota; Metazoa; Mollusca; Bivalvia; Mytilida; Mytilidae
Source: RNAcentral
GCUUGUCGAGCUUUUUAUACGACCGCAAAUUUUGAAAAAAUUUUCGUCGUAUAUUGCUAUCACGUUGGCGUCGGCGUCGUCGUCGUCGUCGUCGUCGUCGUCGUCGUCCGGCGUCCGAAUACUUUUAGUUUUCGCACUCUAACUUUAGUAAAAGUGAAUGGAAAUCUAUGAAAUUUUAACACAAGGUUUAUGACCACAAAAGGAAGGUUGGUAUUGAUUUUGGG